GUAAUAAAAGGGAAUGGGGUACUCCCUAAAUGACUUUAGUCGUUUGAACCGCUUAGAGUUGAUAAGCUGAUGACUUCUGCCGUGUA
Molecule: non-coding RNA, 86 nt
Filed under: Phascolarctobacterium sp.
Lineage: Bacteria; Bacillati; Bacillota; Negativicutes; Acidaminococcales; Acidaminococcaceae
Description: Fluoride sequence
Rfam family: Fluoride riboswitch aptamer (crcB RNA motif)
Source: RNAcentral